Long non-coding RNA from Chinchilla lanigera (long-tailed chinchilla), 173 nucleotides. RefSeq lists it as uncharacterized. NCBI's taxonomy places the organism in Eukaryota, Metazoa, Chordata, Mammalia, Rodentia, Chinchillidae. The record is from RefSeq and is a predicted model, not a curated record. The transcript is spliced from 3 exons.
GCUGCCAGCAGAGAAGAACUAGGACUCCGGGAAAUAAAACGGAGUCUACCACUGGAUAUGGAUUAAAAAACAAGCAAAUGUCACUAUCAUCUAAGUAAUUGGGUAUAUAAAUGCUAGUCUAUCCUACUGCUGUCCACUGCGGGCAUUAUUGGAAUCAGCAAACCAUCGCUAUA